CCUACGGGAGGCAGCAGUGGGGAAUUUUGGACAAUGGGGGCAACCCUGAUCCAGCAAUGCCGCGUGAGUGAAGAAGGCCUUCGGGUUGUAAAGCUCUUUUGUCAGGGAAGAAACGGGUGGGGCUAAUAUCCUCAUCUAAUGACGGUACCUGAAGAAUAAGCACCGGCUAACUACGUGCCAGCAGCCGCGGUAAUACGUAGGGUGCAAGCGUUAAUCGGAAUUACUGGGCGUAAAGCGUGCGCAGGCGGUUAUGUAAGUCAGAUGUGAAAUCCCCGGGCUCAACCUGGGAACUGCAUUUGAGACUGCAUGGCUAGAGUGUGUCAGAGGGGGGUAGAAUUCCACGUGUAGCAGUGAAAUGCGUAGAUAUGUGGAGGAAUACCGAUGGCGAAGGCAGCCCCCUGGGAUAACACUGACGCUCAUGCACGAAAGCGUGGGGAGCAAACAGGAUUAGAUACCCUGGUAGUCCACGCCCUAAACGAUGUCUACUAGUUGUCGGGACUUAAUUGUCUUGGUAACGCAGCUAACGCGUGAAGUAGACCGCCUGGGGAUCGGUCGCAAGNUUAAAACUCAAAGUAUAGUCGGAGNGAGAGAGACGACGACGACGACGAGGAGGGAGGAGG
RNAcentral lists this ribosomal RNA (620 nucleotides) under uncultured bacterium. RNAcentral's name for it is "bacterial SSU rRNA". It matches the Rfam family "Bacterial small subunit ribosomal RNA", at positions 338 to 954 of the family's 1533-position model. The record is from RNAcentral.